UUGAAUGUUUAAGUAAUUAUUUAGUAUAUUGAAAAUGAUUGUUUCAUGUUCCUUCUCCAAACAUGUAUAAAUCAUGUAGAACUAUUAUAUUCAGGACGGUGAACAAUUUGUUAGAUAAAUUCAUGCUGAGAAAACAUGAAAUUGUUAGGUUUUUUUUUAAUCUCCGCCCAAUCUGAUUCUAAACACGUCAUUAAAAACUCAAACGAGGUUGAGAUGCUGCCUGGGCCCUGCCCUAGCGGUGACGCAACGCUUUUGAAAUUGCCUCAGCUUCAGCUAUGGUCGGCAAUCAGGCGAAGUAGAUCCAGAAAUUUUCUGUUUCUCUCCUGCUUGUACAAGAGGUCAUUUGUGGGAAGACAGUUGACAGUUGGAAGAAAAAAGAUGAUUCUAAGCACACUUAUGCCGUGAGUGCACACCCACCAUCUUUCCUUUCUCAUCUGCCUCGACAAGAGUAACUACAGAAUCGGCUGUGGAGGGAACAACGUUUACACUUCGGAGAUUAUUUGACGAUGGAAGGAUUUAUUGGCAAGGUGAAUGUGGCGUUGUAAGGGGCGCUCAUAGUCGUUCCAACAAGACACGAUUUGCUGACCCAUUAUAAGCGCAAACUCAGGACUUCGGUCGCCCUGCAAGGUGAAUGUGGCGUUGUAAGGGGCGCUCAUAGUCGUUCCAACAAGUCACGAUUUGCUGACCCAUUAUAAGCGCAAACUCGGGACUUUGGUCGCCCUGCAAGGUGAAUGUGGCGUUGUAAGGGGCGCUCAUAGUCGUUCCAACAAGGCAUUUUGCUGACAGCAAGGCGAUUUGCUGACCCAUUAGAAGCGCAAACUCGGGACUUUGGUCGCCCUGCAAGGUAUUCAUGCAUGUUUUCAGAAUGUCCAUGCACAUUUAAGACAUGGAAUGCUUUAAUUUUGCAUCACUGUGCGCAUGCAACAGUUGGUCAAAAACAGAGACUUGACUGACUGUUUUUAUCUCUCUCUCUUGCUCUCUCUCUCUUGCGCGCUUUCUUUCUUUCUUUCU
Molecule: long non-coding RNA, 1011 nt
Organism: Engraulis encrasicolus (European anchovy)
Lineage: Eukaryota; Metazoa; Chordata; Actinopteri; Clupeiformes; Engraulidae
Exons: 4
Source: RefSeq, a predicted model, not a curated record